GCCUGGGUGGCUCAGUUGGUUAAGCGUCCGACUUCGGCUCAGGUCAUGAUUGCACGGUUUGCGGGUUCGAGCCCCGCAUUGGGCU
This 85-nucleotide transfer RNA is filed under the name Felis catus (domestic cat). It matches the Rfam family "tRNA". Rfam says of the family: Transfer RNA (tRNA) molecules are approximately 80 nucleotides in length. Their secondary structure includes four short double-helical elements and three loops (D, anti-codon, and T loops). Lineage: Eukaryota; Metazoa; Chordata; Mammalia; Carnivora; Felidae. The record is from Rfam by way of RNAcentral.